This 175-nucleotide non-coding RNA is filed under the name Pseudomonas sp. M1. RNAcentral's name for it is "RT-15 RNA". It matches the Rfam family "RT-15 RNA". From Rfam's summary of the family: Proteobacteria. Nearby to self-splicing intron genes Lineage: Bacteria; Pseudomonadati; Pseudomonadota; Gammaproteobacteria; Pseudomonadales; Pseudomonadaceae. The record is from Rfam by way of RNAcentral.
CCGCGCCCGUUGCUUGAGGGUUACGGCCCUCUUGCCUGCGCGCCAAAUCUGGUCGUGCCGCUGCCCGGUUGGGCACCGCCAUGCGCACCUACAGGGACCACCGGCUACCGGCGAGGCCUGGCGCAGUUUCCCCAUCGAGCAAUCGGCGGGGCGACGUGGAUAGCACGAUAGGUCG